This is a long non-coding RNA of Canis lupus familiaris (dog), 2207 nucleotides long. RefSeq lists it as uncharacterized. Lineage: Eukaryota; Metazoa; Chordata; Mammalia; Carnivora; Canidae. The record is from RefSeq and is a predicted model, not a curated record. The transcript has 3 exons.
UGGCUUCAGCAGGAAGUCACGAAAGCCAGAGCUGUGGAUGGAGACGUAGGAACCCUUGACAUCCUUCUUGGCAGGGGCCUCAGACCCGUCUCCCCCAGCUGCUGUCUCUACUUCAUCUUCUUCAUAGUCCAAGAGUUCAUUGUCCACAUCAUUUUCUGCCAUAACUGGGCCGGCAGGGGGAGAAGGAGAUGGGUCUCUGGAUGGGUUCACGCAGAAUAAGUAAAAACAGAGGAGGAGAGUGGGGGCUGGAGCAACAGUUAAAAAAAAAAAAUACCCUAGUUUGUGAUAGAAGAGCUAGGAAAAAAAUAGAUGGAGGACUUAUUAGUCAGGAGCAGAGCCUUCGCCCCUCUUUUCCAUCCCCACACUCUUCCCACUUUCCCUAAACUGUGACCCCUUUACCUGGGGAUAAAACUAACAGGAACACAAAACAUAAAAGCAACAGCAAACAUAACACAGUGGUCCCAAGUGAGGUGGUUGAGACACAACUUUUCAACAAAAUUAGGAUCAGAAUAGCAUUAAGCAGGAAGUAGGAAGGGGACAACCAGCCCAUGAAUUCCUCAUCUGUAAGCAACAGUAAUGAAGAAAAACGGGUAACGAAAAGCAAAGUAGGACAACGGAGUGAAGAAUGGAGAUGACAAGAUCAGACUCCUCUCCGAUAACCGACAUGACACCACGCAUGAACAAGUGGAAAAUGUUCCAAGUGAUGGUUGGUGAGCUCACAGAAGGGUCCAACCAGGCUCAGUAGUCGGCUCCUCCUCCAGUUCCCACCUUGGGCCAUUAAGAGGACCCACAGAAGAGAGGAAAAGUGAAAGGAGCCCCGCCCUCCGCAAAUGCCCUGGACUAGAGGACAUCUACGCCGCCUCUCACCAUAGCUAGGGCCUCGGAUAAACGAGAAGCCCAAGCGAAGAAGCAGUGAGCGAAGGGAACACAAUGGCGCUGGGGCCACCAUCUUGGAUUGGGCCCCCUAGCAUCGCUACCCCCCCCUCCAGAAACUCUUAAGAGCUCUGAAAAGGGAUGCAAGCAAUAGAAAUAAUGACCCAACUAGGCCCCAAGGACCAGACUAUAGUCUGUGGAAGGGGUAUCAGGAGUCCAGGGAACAGGAUGGCCGCAAAGAAACGCAGAUGGAGGCGGAUGAUACCGAAGGCCAAAGCUUACCUGAGCAAGGCGAGCGCAUAUGGCGGCGGCAGCAGCGACGAAAGAGGGACUCUGCCUUCACUUCCGGUUUUCGCCUUCUCUCUCCCAGGCGCCUCGCCUUCCCGCCUGCCAGCACGCAGGCGCAGGAGACCGGAAGAAGACCCUUUCAGAUUCGAGAGUUCCGCGCGCUCCGGGGUUGCCUUUAGAAAACGCCUGUGUGGAUUUUUUUUUUUUUAAAGGCACUUCUAACUCCUUCGCUACUGCAAGUAACAAAAGCCUUGAAGGAAACUAGCAUCGUCUCCCACUGUUACCUCUUUUCUCUGUCCUCGUCCACUCCGCGUCCCUCACCUCUUCCCUCGGGUUCUUGCCGGCAGGUCUUCUCUCUGGUCACCCCUCCGUGGGCGCCCCGCUCGGCAACAGGCUGGCGGGGCUGAGAGUUCCCACGGGGUCCUCCGCCCGGUAGUCAAGGUGACCGGCGCGUCCUCGCUGGAGCUAGUCUGACCCCAGCUGAGGGGAGGGAGUGAGCCGGCGCUGCGCCCGCGGGUCCUCCCCUACCCCUUCCCCAGCGGUGGAGACGGUGGGCGGUGUCUUCCCAAAAUAAUUUGGCCGGUGUAAUUGACUGAUGGGCAGGAAAUUCGAGUCAAGAAGGUGUUCUGCAACCAACGGGUUGGAUCGUCUCCAGGUGUUAAAAAUAAAUGGAGUCUGGUUAAUAUUUACACUGUGGAUUACCUCAUUGGUUCAAGUCUUCGGUCUGGUGAAGCACGGAUUGUUUUCUGAGAGAAAACACCGUGUCCAAGAGAACGGUGACCCAAGAAUCGUGUGGUAGAAGGGCGGUUUUUCCAACCCUAAGUAUCCGUCGAUUCAACAGUAUUUAUCCACUGCCUACCUUAUGUCGAGUGCUAACCUAGGAUCUGGAGACUCAGUGAACAGCCCUGUCAUCACAGAGUUUCCACUCCAGGGAAGAAAACAAAUAAGCAAAUGUCAAGUAGUAAUAAAUGUCAUUAAGAAAAAUAAAGAGGGGAUCCCUGGGUGGCGCUGCGGUUUGGCGCCUGCGUUUGGCCCAGGGCGCGAUC